GAGUUGUGUGAUGCAGGUGUGUGCGACCGGAAGGAAGCUGUCGUCUGCUGUGCUUUGGAUCAUCAACUUGAGUGCCUGAGAGAGAGAGAGAGAGAGAGUUUAUAAGAGAAAAAGAAAGAGAGGGAGAAAAUAUUGAGGAAUGACUGAGAAGAAAGGAAGGAAGGAAGAAAAGGGAGGAGGAUACAAGAAGGAAGGAAGGAAGAGGAGGACUAGGAGGAAGGAAGGAAGGAAGGAAGGAAGGAAGGAAGGAAGGAAGGGAAGAGGACAAGAAGGAAGAGAAAAGGAGGACACACUCUCUCUCUCUCUCUCUCUCUCUCUCUCUCUCUCUCUCUCUCUCUCUCUCUCUCUCUCUCUCUCUCUCUCUCUCUCUCCCACAGACCCACAGGAUGUCCCCCCACAGGAUGUUGACAAACCCCACAGUCACUCCCCUCAGCCCCUCUCUCUCUCUGUCUCUCACCUACCUUCAUGCCCAGAAUAGGAACCCUGUCAGUGCCCGUCAGGAACUUCAAAAACAACUUCUUCUGCUCCAGGGAGAGUUUGUGAAAUACUUCCCAGAACGUGCGUAUGACCGGGUGGUCUGGGAAACAUUCGCCCUGGAAACACCGACAGAAAUCAAUAAACGGAAGGAUAUUAGUGUGAA
Molecule: long non-coding RNA, 640 nt
Organism: Scylla paramamosain (green mud crab)
Lineage: Eukaryota; Metazoa; Arthropoda; Malacostraca; Decapoda; Portunidae
Exons: 2
Source: RefSeq, a predicted model, not a curated record